Labrus bergylta (ballan wrasse) is the source of this 206-nucleotide non-coding RNA. The record is from RefSeq and is a predicted model, not a curated record. Lineage: Eukaryota; Metazoa; Chordata; Actinopteri; Labriformes; Labridae.
AUUUAUUUUCUACAGCCUUCCAACAUCUGCAGAAAGUCAAGUAAUUUUGCCAGUCUUCAUCGCCACCAUUGUCGUCUUCCUGGUGCUAGUAUGUGCUCUACUCUUUGUUAUCAGGGCUCAGAGGACUCAACACAACCUGCUUAAGAGUCAGGGUCAGGUAAUGCCAGCACAGUUGCCAUGAGCCAACAUCUACCAAGUGGAGAAGG